GUCUGUGCACCAGAAACGUCGGUUGUAGUCAUUCCAGCCGUACCACAAACAGAACCGUCCGAGGUGCUUCCAAUACUUGUUCAUACGCCGGAACGCAGGAUGUGCUCAUUCUUAAGAAAUGAGUGCUCGCAAAUGAUGUACGGGAUAUGUAUUCUAGUUGCGGUGAUACAUUUUUGUCUGGUCAGUAUAACUAGAAUUGUCCUAGGCGUCUAUUACUGGACAAGCGCUACAAUGCUUCCUACUUGUCAUAUUGGGAAAGGCAUUUUCGACCUAUCUACAGCACUAGUGAUGUGUUGCUCGUUUGAAGGAUGUGUUGUUGU
Molecule: long non-coding RNA, 320 nt
Organism: Ruditapes philippinarum (Manila clam)
Lineage: Eukaryota; Metazoa; Mollusca; Bivalvia; Venerida; Veneridae
Exons: 4
Source: RefSeq, a predicted model, not a curated record